CAGGCCUACCUCUUCUGUUCAUCAGUUAGCCCCUUAUUGAAGUAGGAUACAUGACUACCUCUUCCGUUCAUCAGUUAGCCCCUUAUUGAGGUAGGAUUCAGGCCUACCUCUUCCGUUCAUCAGUUAGCCCCUUAUUGAGGUAGGAUCCAGGCCUACCUCUUCUGUUCAUCAGUUAGCCCCUUAUUGAAGUAGGAUACAUGACUACCUCUUCCGUUCAUCAGUUAGCCCCUUACUGAGGUAGGAUCCAGGCCUACCUCUUCUGUUCAUCAGUUAGCCCCUUAUUGAAGUAGGAUCCAGGCCUACCUCUUCUGUUCAUCAGUUAGCCCCUUAUUGAGGUAGGAUCCAGGCCUACCUCUUCUGUUCAUCAGUUAGCCCCUUAUUGAAGUAGGAUACAUGACUACCUCUUCCGUUCAUCAGUUAGCCCCUUAUUGAGGUAGGA
Oncorhynchus tshawytscha (Chinook salmon) is the source of this 439-nucleotide long non-coding RNA. The record is from Ensembl. Lineage: Eukaryota; Metazoa; Chordata; Actinopteri; Salmoniformes; Salmonidae.